CGACACGGGGAGGUAGUGACAAUAAAUACUGAUACAGGGCUCUUUUGGGUCUUGUAAUUGGAAUGAGUACAAUUUAAAUCCCUUAACGAGGAACAAUUGGAGGGCAAGUCUGGUGCCAGCAGCCGCGGUAAUUCCAGCUCCAAUAGCGUAUAUUAAAGUUGUUGCAGUUAAAAAGCUCGUAGUUGAACCUUGGGCCUGGCUGGCCGGUCCGCCUCACCGCGUGUACUGGUCCGGCCGGGCCUUUCCUUCUGGGGAACCUCAUGCCCUUCACUGGGCGUGUUGGGGAACCAGGACUUUUACUUUGAAAAAAUUAGAGUGUUCAAAGCAGGCCUUUGCUCGAAUACAUUAGCAUGGAAUAAUAGAAUAGGACGUGUGGUUCUAUUUUGUUGGUUUCUAGGACCGCCGUAAUGAUUAAUAGGGAUAGUCGGGGGCAUCAGUAUUCAAUCGUCAGAGGUGAAAUUCUUGGAUUGAUUGAAGACUAACUACUGCGAAAGCAUUUGCCAAGGAUGUUUUCAUUAAUCAGUGAACGAAAGUUAGGGGAUCGAAGACGAUCAGAUACCGUCGUAGUCUUAACCAUAAACUAUGCCGACUAGGGAUCGGACGGUGUUAGUAUUUUGACCCGUUCGGCACCUUACGAGAGAUCAAAGUUUUUGGGUUCUGGGGGGAGUAUGGUCGCAAGGCUGAAACUUAAAGAAAUUGACGGAAGGGCACCACCAGGCGUGGAGCCUG
RNAcentral lists this ribosomal RNA (729 nucleotides) under uncultured marine eukaryote. Its description in RNAcentral is "SSU rRNA". It matches the Rfam family "Eukaryotic small subunit ribosomal RNA", at positions 452 to 1185 of the family's 1831-position model. The record is from RNAcentral.